Equus caballus (horse) is the source of this 2896-nucleotide long non-coding RNA. NCBI's taxonomy places the organism in Eukaryota, Metazoa, Chordata, Mammalia, Perissodactyla, Equidae. The record is from Ensembl.
UUAAAUGUGCAUCCAUCAGCUUGCCUAAUUACCGAUACGAUAAAGGAACACUCACCCCGUCUCAGCGCACGUGGUACACCGGAGCACCCUCUCACUGGUUUGGAGGGAGCAGCACAUGACACAGGCGAAGGAAACACUGGCCGCAGGAGGGGCACGUGACGCCAGCCAGACACUCGGCCAAGCAGGGAGCGGAAUCAAGCCGGAACCCCGCGGGGUGACUGGACCUAACACUGCAGGAGACUCGGGAACCCCACCUCGCCUGUGGCGUCCAUGCCACUGGUCCUCACGGCCCCUCCCGGGGCUCAGGGUGGCAGCAAGUGGCACACUGGAGCCCCUGACUGACCCUGGGCCUCCGCGUCCCCCAGGACUCUCAGGAGGAAUGACAGCCGCGGGCAGCCUGCUAGGCCUGCUGCUGGGGCACCGCAUGGUGGCGUGGUGGCGCUUGGGGGCAUCCGCUGGCACAUGCCCUCCAGGCCUGCUGGCUGGCAGCAGCACAGCCUUGCUCUCGCACGUGCUCCAGCAAGCGCACGCACGCCUCCAGCCAAGCUCCCUCUAGGUCAAGCAGGACAGGCUCCACCCGCCACAUCUGCUUCCGGGUGCUGUGCCUAAGGCUCGCGAGACCCGUGACCUGGCUGCCCGGUCCCCGGAUGAAAGGCAGGGGGCGGUCCAUGAAGCCAGCUCAAAGAGGCGGCAGAGGAGUAAGGAGUUCGGCGUCACCCGCCUCGUUAGACUGAGUUGUGUUUCCCCCACAAUUCAUAUGUUGAAGGCUGUUGGGCAGAAACACCAUGCAUUGGUUAUCGAUGUCAGAGGAGGCCUUCAUGGAGGAUAGCAGAGAUCAUCACAGUGACAGCCACCAGCAAUAGAAGUCUAAACACUUCUGUCUGCUUCAUCUUGUUAUUGGAGUUGCCAAGAAAAUCACAGCACAGUCAAGCACUGGAUGGAACAACUCUAUACUCAUAGAGAGAAGAGACAGGAAACUCGACUCCAAUAGCAUGUAUUGGCCCCCAUGGCUGGCAGAAGCCCCCAGCAGCUGACACAGGGAAAUUGGCCUACGAGCAUUGCUCUUGCCGUAGUGGAAGGAUUCCUUCCCUUCCCCCAAGGAGUGAGAAAUACUAAAUGCUAGGAGUGGGCCAGAACAAAGCAGAGCAAAGGAGUACACAUUGAGCCUGCAACUGGAAAACAUACUCCCACCCAAGGUGCUAGGCCCAGAACAGGCUGUGUGGACAAUUUAUCUUCUAGUAAGGAAGUAUUCCAGGCCCCUGGCCCCCUCUUAUGUGACUGAUGGGGUACUCACCAUCUGCCUUUCCCAACAAAUCUGACUGCAUUUGGAGACGGGCCUUUAGGAAGGAGAGAACGGGAAAGGAAGAUAACUGUAUUCAUGAGUGAAGCAAAGGAAGAGACUCUAGAAAAAAGGUGGCCAAUUUCUUGACCAGUAAGGAGAGAAUAAAGAGAGAAAAAUAGAAAAAAAGUAAAGGUAGAAGAAUGAAGCACAUUCUAUCUACGAUGAUACAAAUUAGCCGUCUAUUAAAUUUCAAAAAUGGCAUGUUUAUUUGAAUUAAAUUAUUUUUAGGUUAUAUUGUUUCAUGAAGAACUCAAGAAUAUCCAUCACUUGGUCAAACCUAAUCACUGAGCGUUACAUCUGGAAAAGAAUUAUAUGAAUGACAGAACCCUUAAUUUCUAAUGAUAUACUGAGCUAUUUAUCAAGAAAACCAUAUAAUGAUAGAAUAUUUCAUUUAGAAGGCAUCAUAAUACAGGAUUUCUGUUCUAAUUCAUGAUACUCACUAUCCUACAAUUGGAAGAGCAUCCUCUAUCUACUGCUAGAAAAUCUCUGGUCGUCAAGAACAUAUUAAGAUACAAGUCCAGUGUCCAGAAGGCUUGGCAAGUACCAGAAGGCUCAUUGAGAUUUCCUGUGGUUUAUGACCCAAGUUGACAACUGUGACUUCUUCUUUGUGGCGUUCUGAUGGUUAUGUCGUAUAAGAAUCACCUUAUAUCAUUUGAGAAGCUGCUGACACGGAGCACUGGUUUGAUGGAUGACCUGAGCGGCUGCUGUUCCCAUCAGAGGGAAAUACCUCCUAAACACAGAUUCAUGGCAAGUGAAUUUUUUUGGAACUUGUUCAUCAUCCUGGUCCUUGGUAGCACCUGCCCUCCAGGAAGCUGAGAGGCUUCCGAAGUACCAAGAGGCCAGUGGUCUUCCCAUCUGGGAAUCCAACUACUGCAACUCCAGCAAGAUUUAAUCUGGAUUCCUUCGGGUCUCAAGGCUCUGCUUGCACCUCAUCUUAUAUCCUCAGCGGGUGGUUGAAUCAGUAGUGGGUGAUUCAUUGGAGUUAGUAAUGGAUGGGAAGGAAAUCACAUUGACGUUGACAUUGCCUUAAAUUGCUUUAUAUUGUAAUUGAGUCAUUCAAAUUCCUAUAUAUUUUGAAUAGUCAUUGAAAAUAAAACAAAAUUAAACUAUAUCCAAGUAAUUGAAUACCUAGAAAAUUUUUCAAAUAAUUCAAUGUGGAAAACCAGCCUUACAGUGAUUCUUUAAAAAAAACACUUUAAAUAACUAUUUCAUAUAAUUCAAAAUAUUACUUAGCUGACAUAGUGGGAUUUUUGAAAAUACGUAAAUCCUUUUAGUAGUAACUAAAUAUAACGUCCUUAAUUCAGGACAAUUACGCACUACAACUUUGCUCUAUGGUGCAUUUCAAAAUAAACUAUUAUAGAAUACAUAGUUAUAGAUACACAUAUGAAUUCUAUGUUUCACCCUAUCUCAAUUCUUUCAUCGUAGAAGAAACAAUAUCUUGAAAUUCAAGUAAUUUCAAUCUCAGCAUAAAUGAAAACUUCACAAUUAAAUAUAUUGUUCCAGUGAAUAAAAUAAUGGUAGGAAACUAAUUCAAGAAAAGCUCAACUUCAAGUC